GACGAACGCUGGCGGCGUGCCUAACACAUGCAAGUCGAGCGGAGACAGUGAGUAGCUUGCUAUGAGCUGUUUUAGCGGUGGACGGGUGAGUAACGCGUGAGCAACCUUUCCCAGACAGGGGAAUAACACACCGAAAGGUGUACUAAUACCGCAUAAGACUACGGGAUCACAUGGUUCUGGGGUAAAAGAUUUAUCGGUUUGGGGUGGGCUCGCGUCCGAUUAGGUAGUUGGUGAGGUAACGGCCCACCAAGGCGACGAUCAGUAGCCGGCCUGAGAGGGUGAACGGCCACAUUGGGACUGAGACACGGCCCAAACUCCUACGGGAGGCAGCAGUGGGGAAUAUUGCACAAUGGGGGAAACCCUGAUGCAGCGACGCCGCGUGAGUGAUGAAGUAUUUCGGUAUGUAAAACUCUAUCAGCAGGGAAGAUAAUGACGGUACCUGACUAAGAAGCACCGGCUAAAUACGUG
Molecule: ribosomal RNA, 468 nt
Filed under: uncultured bacterium
Lineage: Bacteria
Description: bacterial SSU rRNA
Rfam family: Bacterial small subunit ribosomal RNA
Source: RNAcentral